RNAcentral lists this transfer RNA (68 nucleotides) under Marmota marmota marmota (Alpine marmot). It matches the Rfam family "tRNA". Rfam says of the family: Transfer RNA (tRNA) molecules are approximately 80 nucleotides in length. Their secondary structure includes four short double-helical elements and three loops (D, anti-codon, and T loops). Further hydrogen bonds mediate the characteristic L-shaped molecular structure. tRNAs have two regions of fundamental functional importance: the anti-codon, which is responsible for specific mRNA codon recognition, and the 3' end, to which the tRNAs corresponding amino acid is attached (by aminoacyl-tRNA synthetases). tRNAs cope with the degeneracy of the genetic code in two manners: having more than one tRNA (with a specific anti-codon) for a particular amino acid; and 'wobble' base-pairing, i.e. permitting non-standard base-pairing at the 3rd anti-codon position. The record is from Rfam by way of RNAcentral. RNAcentral also lists the same sequence under 1 other name. Lineage: Eukaryota; Metazoa; Chordata; Mammalia; Rodentia; Sciuridae.
GGGCUGGCUCAGUGGGAGAGCACUUGCCUAGCAUGCAUGAGGCACUGGGUUCAAUCCUUGGCACCCCA